Small nucleolar RNA from Periophthalmus magnuspinnatus, 78 nucleotides. RefSeq annotates it as small nucleolar RNA SNORD71. Lineage: Eukaryota; Metazoa; Chordata; Actinopteri; Gobiiformes; Gobiidae. The transcript has a single exon. The record is from RefSeq and is a predicted model, not a curated record.
CAAAGGCUGUAUGAUGAAAAAAGAGUGAUCCAUCGUCUGAGAUGCAUUGCUGACACUUAAAUUGUCUGACAGCAUUUU